RNAcentral lists this long non-coding RNA (2010 nucleotides) under Nicotiana tabacum (common tobacco). Its description in RNAcentral is "long non-coding RNA (NTAB_LNC010579)". The record is from RNAcentral. Lineage: Eukaryota; Viridiplantae; Streptophyta; Magnoliopsida; Solanales; Solanaceae.
CAGAUAAGGACAAUUAGCGCCGUUUCCUCUGAAAAAGAUCAACUAAAGAGAAUACAAAAAAUGAGAGCCUAAGACCUAAGAGCAAAAAUACACAAAAAUGGGAGAACCUAAGAGAUCGGUCGUUUCUUGAUUUUAGGAGGGGACAAAAACUCUUCAUCUUCUUCCUAUUCUUUGAAAACAAAAGAACAACAAAAGAGAUCUCUAAAGCAAAAUCUUAGGACCGCCGCUAAUACACAAAGACCCCUCCCCCACCGAGCUUCUUCUUCUUCUUCAAUGAAAGACAAGCACCAUUCGUUUGAUUCUAACCUAGAGAGCUUUCAUUUUCCUAGAAACAUCAGAACCAUCUCCUUCUCAAAAAUCAAAUGUCACAGUCAUCUCUUCUUUGAAUAGAGAUGAAGGAUCUCUUUUCCUAAUUUUGAAAGAACAAAACCGGCGACCACCCCUGUCAUCAUCUUCAGCCACGCCACCCUUCCGAAACCCACCGGAAAAACUCAGUGGAACACUGCUCCAAGCCCACACCUUCUUCACAAAACAGUCACACAUAUACUCACGAGAGAGACAGAAAAUCGGGAUAGAGGGAGAGGAGAAAAGUUCUAGACGAACUUCGAUUGAGGUUUGGUUCUGAGUUCGUUCACCGAUUGGAGAGUUCCAUUGCCAAAUCGAGUUUCGCCAACUGGUUCACGGUCUCAGCUUCAUUCUUUGGCUUUAUUGUUGAUUUCUCUCGACUUUUCGCUGUUGUAUUCACUUGAGGUGAUUCCGAGCAGAAAUAAAUUGAAAUCUCACUUUCAGGUCCAUAUUCUAUCUUUUCCUCUAUUUUUCCAGUGAAUUGAAGUAUGAUAAGUGUUAGGAUUAAAUCAAUUUGGAGAGCAUUUGAGCUAAUUGAAAUUUGAUUUGAGAAGUAUUUGAAUUUUGAAGUGUAUGGAUUAACUAAGGUUGGAUAUGAGUUUGUUGUUGUGCCUUACAUGACUUUAUUUUGUGUGUUUUAAUAUAUUGCUUCAGAUCUGAACGCUUAUGUUUUAUAUGAUCGAUUCGAGCUCGGCAUGGCAACGUAGUUAUUGGAGGGAUCAUGAAAUCAGUGAUGACUUGCUUGCAAUUUUCAUAAGUGUUUCGGCAUGUUCGUGUCAACUUUAAGUUGUUAGACUGUCACUAGAUAUUCUUUAUGUGUUUGUUGAACUAGUUUAGUCAUUCCAACAUUUUGAAGCAUGUCUCGUUGUGCUUAAAUCAGUUUGGUUGAUCAUUGUCGUCAUUUUAGGUACGAAAUAUCGAUGUCAUUGUUCGUGAUCUUCUUGGAAUAUUUGGAGGUUGUUUCUGUUAGCUUGACUUGAGAAAUGAUCUUGAGUCCCUGUUGAUUGUAUGUUUGGCGAUGUACAGAUCGAUCUAUACUUUUGUGAUAAAACAUUGAAGUUCUGUGUAUGUCGAGGUUCGAUACGGCAAUGCCUUAGUUUUCGAUUUCAUGAAAUUGGUUUUGUUUACCUUGUUAAGUUUGAACAUUGGUAUUAGGUUUGCUUGGAAUUUUACAUAUGGAUAUGGAAUCUGUGUAAUUAACCUCCCUGUUCUAGUUUUGAUUGAUUUAGUGGCUGAUUUUUCGGACCAUUCUGUGUUCAUUGCGAGUGUUUGUGAAAGAACCGAGUGCGCGAUGUUGCAUUUAUUCGUAUUUCCAUUGUCCACGUCUUCUGGAAUCCCGCAUCUAUUUUCCUUCUAAAUAAAUGCUCGACAUGUAUUUGGUGUUUGAUUGUGGAAGGCAAUUUGAUCAAGCGAAUUGUGUACUAAUUUGGCGCACCAACUGUUGGUGUAAGUUUGUGACAUCUUCCAAAAGUUGUACUCUUAUUCUAAAUACACGUAGUAGCAAUUUGAAAUCAAGUUCGUCAUCAAAAUACCACUUGAGCAGUAAGCAUCGAUGUGCACGAGUUUAGUCGGUGUAGAUUGCAAUCUGGAUUGUUUCGUUCUAUGUCUGUAUUUCAUUUGCUUCUUUCAGCUAUUUUCCCUAGUUUGAUUGAGCUAUAACUGGAC